UGGCAGACUAUACUAUACUAUUCCAGAGUCUGGGGGCAUAGUAACUAAAGGCUGCCUCUCCAUGCCUCUUGGUCCCCCUCAGGUUCUCUAGCCGGCUAGUCCAGAGUCUGGGGGCAUAGUAACUAAAGGCUGCCUCUCCAUGCCUCUUGGUCCCCCUCAGGUUCUCUAGCCGGCUAGUCCAGAGUCUGGGGGCAUAGUAACUAAAGGCUGCCUCUCCAUGCCUCUUGGUCCCCCUCAGGUUCUCUGACAGACUAUACUAUACUUUUCCAGAGUCUGUGGACAUAGUAACUAAAGGCUGCCUCUCCAUGCCUCUUGGUCCCCCUCAGGUUCUCUGACAGACUAUACUAUACUAUUCCAGAUUCUGGGGGCAUAGUAACUAAAGCCUCUCCAUGCCUCUUGGUCCCCCUCUGGUUCUCUGGCAGACUAUUCCAGAGUCUGGCGGUAUAGUAACUAAAGGCUGGCGGUAUAGUAACUAAAGGCUGGCGGUAUAGUAACUAAAGGCUGGCGGUAUAGUAACUAAAGGGUGCUUGUCUCUUCAGACAGGAACUGCUUUUUUAUUAUUGAUG
Molecule: long non-coding RNA, 566 nt
Organism: Oncorhynchus tshawytscha (Chinook salmon)
Lineage: Eukaryota; Metazoa; Chordata; Actinopteri; Salmoniformes; Salmonidae
Source: Ensembl